GUACACGAGCGGCGAACGGGUGAGUAACACGUGGGUGAUCUGCCUCGCACUCUGGGAUAAGCCUGGGAAACUGGGUCUAAUACCGGAUAUGACCUCGAGUCGCAUGGCUCUUGGUGGAAAGAUUUAUUGGUGCGAGAUGGGCCCGCGGCCUAUCAGCUUGUUGGUGGGGUAAUGGCCUACCAAGGCGACGACGGGUAGCCGGCCUGAGAGGGCGACCGGCCACACUGGGACUGAGACACGGCCCAGACUCCUACGGGAGGCAGCAGUGGGGAAUAUUGCACAAUGGGCGAAAGCCUGAUGCAGCGACGCCGCGUGAGGGAUGACGGCCUUCGGGUUGUAAACCUCUUUCGACAGGGACGAAGCGCAAGUGACGGUACCUGUAGAAGAAGCACCGGCCAACUACGUGCCAGCAGCCGCGGUAAUACGUAGGGUGCGAGCGUUGUCCGGAAUUACUGGGCGUAAAGAGCUUGUAGGCGGUUUGUCGCGUCUUCUGUGAAAACUUGGGGCUCAACCUUAAGCUUGCAGGCGAUACGGGCAGACUAGAGUACUUCAGGGGAGACUGGAAUUCCUGGUGUAGCGGUGAAAUGCGCAGAUAUCAGGAGGAACACCGGUGGCGAAGGCGGGUCUCUGGGAAGUAACUGACGCUGAGAAGCGAAAGCAUGGGUAGCGAACAGGAUUAGAUACCCUGGUAGUCCAUGCCGUAAACGGUG
This 710-nucleotide ribosomal RNA is filed under the name Nocardia sp. Its description in RNAcentral is "bacterial SSU rRNA". It matches the Rfam family "Bacterial small subunit ribosomal RNA", at positions 87 to 811 of the family's 1533-position model. Lineage: Bacteria; Bacillati; Actinomycetota; Actinomycetes; Mycobacteriales; Nocardiaceae. The record is from RNAcentral.